ACGUAGGAGGCAAGCGUUGUCCGGAAUUACUGGGCGUAAAGCGCGUGUAGGUGGUGGGACAAGUCUGCUGUGAAAGCGCCUGGCUUAACCGGGCGAGGUCGGCGGAAACUGUCCGACUUGAGGACGGUAGAGGGGGGUGGAAUUCCCGGUGUAGUGGUGAAAUGCGUAGAGAUCGGGAGGAACACCUGUGGCGAAGGCGGCCCCCUGGGCCGGCCCUGACACUGAGACGCGAAGGCGUGGGGAGCGAACGGGA
RNAcentral lists this ribosomal RNA (253 nucleotides) under uncultured prokaryote. RNAcentral's name for it is "partial 16S ribosomal RNA". It matches the Rfam family "Bacterial small subunit ribosomal RNA", at positions 525 to 777 of the family's 1533-position model. The record is from RNAcentral.